UACGGGGGGGGCAAGCGUUUUUCGGAAUUUCUGGGCGUAAAGGGCUCGUAGGUGGCCAACUAAGUCAGACGUGAAAUCCCUCGGCUUAACCGGGGAACUGCGUCUGAUACUGGAUGGCUUGAGUUCGGGAGAGGGAUGCGGAAUUCCAGGUGUAGCGGUGAAAUGCGUAGAUAUCUGGAGGAACACCGGUGGCGAAGGCGGCAUCCUGGACCGACACUGACACUGAGGAGCGAAAGCCAGGGGAGCAAACGGG
This 253-nucleotide ribosomal RNA is filed under the name uncultured bacterium. Its description in RNAcentral is "partial 16S ribosomal RNA". It matches the Rfam family "Bacterial small subunit ribosomal RNA", at positions 524 to 776 of the family's 1533-position model. The record is from RNAcentral.